Molecule: ribosomal RNA, 443 nt
Filed under: uncultured bacterium
Lineage: Bacteria
Description: partial 16S ribosomal RNA
Rfam family: Bacterial small subunit ribosomal RNA
Source: RNAcentral
CCUACGGGUGGCAGCAGUGGGGAAUAUUGGACAAUGGGGGGAACCCUGAUCCAGCGACGCCGCGUGAGUGAAGAAGUAUUUCGGUAUGUAAAGCUCUAUCAGCAGGGAAGAAAGAAAUGACGGUACCUCACUAAGAAGCCCCGGCUAACUACGUGCCAGCAGCCGCGGUAAUACGUAGGGGGCAAGCGUUAUCCGGACUUACUGGGUGUAAAGGGAGCGUAGACGGCGAGGCAAGUCUGAAGUGAAAGGCGGGGGCUCAACCUCCGGACUGCUUUGGAAACUGUGUGGCUGGAGUGCAGGAGAGGUAAGUGGAAUUCCUAGUGUAGCGGUGAAAUGCGUAGAUAUUAGGAGGAACACCAGUGGCGAAGGCGGCUUACUGGACUGUAACUGACGUUGAGGCUCGAAAGCGUGGGGAGCAAACAGGAUUAGAUACCCGAGUAGUC